AUAAUUAUAUUAAUUUGGCUUUUUAUCAAGAUCUUUGGUUUACAGGGUUGAAGUCAUCAUUUAAUGACAUGACCUAGCAAAAGACAGAUCUUGAAAUAGGUUAGGUAUGUAUGAAUGGAGUCUUGUCCAGUUGUCCCAAGGAUGUCCAAGUUUGACAUGGGUUCAGGAGGUCACUGGGUUCACGGAUAAGAAUACUCACAUAGUCAUGUAUCAUAGAGUAAAACCAGAAAUACUGUCUUCAUAUGUUUCAAAGUUAAAAGUUACUUUUUGAUAUUCUUUGUUUAAUUAUCUAGAGUUUGUGUGAAGUGAUAUAUUUAUAUAUCUAUAUAUAUGUAUUCAAUUAUGAGUUUAUUAUGCAUUUGUAAGUUUGGUAUAGAACUUCUGAAUCUUAAAGAUAUAUCUUAUGUAAGAAUUAGGCAUUUAACAGAAGGUCAACCCAAUGGUUUUAGUAGAAAACAGCUAUAUGUUGCUGUCAAUCAAAUCAGCUAGGUCAUCUCAAGGAGAUGCAGAUAUGGGGAUGAAGUUGUACAUUCUAUUUCUAAAGUUGAACAUGACAGAGUUAUGGGUGGAGUUGUGAGUUCGCUUUGGUUUAAACCAUAUUAAGCAUCCUUUUGAGAAAAGGCGUUACCAUGUAUUUAGCUGACAUAUGGGUUUUUAUAGUAUAAAGAGAGAGUUUAAACUGACAUAGGACACACUUACACACUCACCCACCAUUCGCAACACAUACACUUCAGAAGGACAGCAAGGACACUUUGUUUACUUAAGGCCUACACUCAAGCUUACCUCACAAACAGCUGUUCGAAGCUGACACUUCUCACACCACUGAAGCUAGACGAAGGAACUUUUACUAUGCUAUUCUUUAAGCUUAUACCUAACUAAUCUUCUGUUAUUACUACAACAAGCUGUAUGAAGAUUUGAACUUUGUAUGUAUUUACAAGUUGAUGCCAAGUGAGAUGCUAAUAAAACUCAUACUUUGAGUAAGCCCAGCUAUUUGAACUUUUGAAAGAAACGUCCUGCGAAAGAAGCUGUUGACAUAACACGUGUCUAAUUUAACUCUUCUUCAAUGGCGAGCCAGCUCAUUAAUCGGUUUUCCUAACACCUUGCCACAAGAGGGGGAAGAGACCCAUUCAUGAGUUCUCAAGUCGCAGGAAAACUCCGAUUAUAGAAUCUAGAAAGGACGUUUGCUCUUCAUCCUACAAGGACAAAAGAUUGAAGGAACCAAGCCGGCUAAGACGUGAAAUCCCACGACUAACGAUAUGGCAUCUGAUAACCAAACAUGGAGGAACACAAAACUCCAAGAAGAAAUAAAAGAAAAUUGGAAAGCAAGAAAAUACACAAAAAGGAGAAAAUUCAUUAUCUCAGGACUCCUUUUUCCAUUAAUGACAUUUUUCUUCAUAAAAACUUACUUGACUUUUUCAAGUUCAGCAGAAGAUAACAAGACUGAGACCCUGCAUAAAAGAGACUUGCAGCUAUCCAGAAAUAAGAGACACUUUCCAAGAUACAGUGACUUUGACACAAGCAAUGACAUAUAUGGAUACGCUUGCAUAGGAUAUGGGGUUACUUGUUGCAUGAGUUUUUACUUUUUCCAUAGCAACACCAUUGAAAUUCACGCCAGAAUAGAAUCCAAGAUCAUCAAAUUCUUUCUGGGCGAAUUUUAAGAAAACUAUAUCAGUUUGGGGAAACACUUCAGUAGUUACUGCAGCAGGAAAUAUAUUAUUGCAUCCAAUAGUUAUUAUUUUUAUUAUUAUGGUGUUAUGCAUAUUAUUUCAAAUCUGUAUAAUGAUUAAGAUGAAACAGUUUUACAAAUUACUUAAGAAAGAAAUGAAAAAAGGUGAAGAAAUCAUGACAAGUAUUCUUACUCGGAGAAUCACAUCUGGCUUAACUGAUCCGAUGGUAAACUGUGGUACAUCUGGAGCAACUGAUUCAAGAUGUGUGUGAAAGGGCCAUAAAUGAAGUGUGCGUGAUUUAGGUAAUAUAAUAAAUUAUAUUCAGGGGGAAUUGUAGAAUAAUUAUAUUAAUUUGGCUUUUUAUCAAGAUCUUUGGUUUACAGGGUUGAAGUCAUCAUUUAAUGACAUGACCUAGCAAAAGACAGAUCUUGAAAUAGGUUAGGUAUGUAUGAAUGGAGUCUUGUCCAGUUGUCCCAAGGAUGUCCAAGUUUGACAUGGGUUCAGGAGGUCACUGGGUUCACGGAUAAGAAUACUCACAGAGUCAUGUAUCAGAGUAAAACCAGAAAUACUGUCUUCAUAUGUUUCAAAGUUAAAAGUUACUUUUUGAUAUUCUUUGUUUAAUUAUCUAGAGUUUGUGUGAAGUGAUAUAUUUAUAUAUCUAUAUAUAUGUAUUCAAUUAUGAGUUUAUUAUGCAUUUGUAAGUUUGGUAUAGAACUUCUGAAUCUUAAAGAUAUAUCUUAUGUAAGAAUUAGGCAUUUAACAGAAGGUCAACCCAAUGGUUUUAGUAGAAAACAGCUAUAUGUUGCUGUCAAUCAAAUCAGCUAGGUCAUCUCAAGGAGAUGCAGAUAUGGGGAUGAAGUUGUACAUUCUAUUUCUAAAGUUGAACAUGACAGAGUUAUGGGUGGAGUUGUGAGUUCGCUUUGGUUUAAACCAUAUUAAGCAUCCUUUUGAGAAAAGGCGUUACCAUGUAUUUAGCUGACAUAUGGGUUUUUAUAGUAUAAAGAGAGAGUUUAAACUGACAUAGGACACACUUACACACUCACCCACCAUUCGCAACACAUACACUUCAGAAGGACAGCAAGGACACUUUGUUUACUUAAGGCCUACACUCAAGCUUACCUCACAAACAGCUGUUCGAAGCUGACACUUCUCACACCACUGAAGCUAGACGAAGGAACUUUUACUAUGCUAUUCUUUAAGCUUAUACCUAACUAAUCUUCUGUUAUUACUACAACAAGCUGUAUGAAGAUUUGAACUUUGUAUGUAUUUACAAGUUGAUGCCAAGUGAGAUGCUAAUAAAACUCAUACUUUGAGUAA
Rana temporaria (common frog) is the source of this 2984-nucleotide long non-coding RNA. RefSeq lists it as uncharacterized. Lineage: Eukaryota; Metazoa; Chordata; Amphibia; Anura; Ranidae. The record is from RefSeq and is a predicted model, not a curated record. The transcript is spliced from 2 exons.